Molecule: ribosomal RNA, 253 nt
Filed under: uncultured bacterium
Lineage: Bacteria
Description: partial 16S ribosomal RNA
Rfam family: Bacterial small subunit ribosomal RNA
Source: RNAcentral
GACGAACCGUACAAACGUUAUUCGGAAUCACUGGGCUUAAAGGGUGCGUAGGCGGUGCGGUAAGUUGGAUGUGAAAUCCCUCGGCUUAACCGAGGAACUGCGUUCAAUACUGCCGUGCUGGAGGGAGACAGAGGUGAGCGGAACUUCGGGUGGAGCGGUGAAAUGCGUUGAUAUCCGAAGGAACACCAGUGGCGUAAGCGGCUCACUGGGUCUCUUCUGACGCUGAGGCACGAAAGCCAGGGGAGCGAACGGG